AGUUUCAUUAUUGUUGGGGGAUUGAUGUAACCACUAAACUCUUAUGUAAAGCAUGUUGUUUUGAAUGAAUAUAUACCUCUUUCAUUGAUUGUUAGUGUUUAAUUCCUUUUCUUAAUGCUUGUUGUGAAGUUGCUACUCAUGACAUGAUUUAGGGUUUCUUGAUAUUGGGAAAUAUUGGGUAAACCUUGACUUGGGUUAAACACCUAAAGGAAAUAGUAUCUAGGGAUAGAACUAGGACCUUUGGAUGUCUUAAAAUCUCAUUUCUUAAUGCGGAAUUAAUCAUUAGGUUUUCCAAGGGAUUGGAGUCUAAU
This 311-nucleotide long non-coding RNA is filed under the name Vigna radiata. RNAcentral describes it as "long non-coding RNA (VRAD_LNC003170)". Lineage: Eukaryota; Viridiplantae; Streptophyta; Magnoliopsida; Fabales; Fabaceae. The record is from RNAcentral.